UUGAUACACUAAUUUACCAUAAUAUAAUAAAAAUAAGAGUCACUGGUGACUUAGUAUAAUGCAGUUCGAAGGAAGUAACAUUCUCACUGCCCAGAAGUCUAAUAAUUGCCUAGACACAAAUGUCAUAGGUUCUUUCCACUGAAGCAUGCACGAGAUGAAAUAAGAUUAGAUCACAGCUCCACUAAGCACUUCCCACUGAUGUAAUCAACAACUUGGGUGGCAGUUUGAUCAAGUGCAGCGGUUACUGCCACCAGAUUUUCCAAAAAUUCUUCCGGUGUUGGUUUAUCACCAUCCACAAUGUCUGUCACAGCUUUCACAAAAAUGGCAGGAACUUUCAACAGAUCUGCCACAUAAGCUACGGCUGCUCCCUCCAUGUCUUUGAUUGUUGCAUCAUUUGCAAUGAUAGAUGCUUCAUCCAUUGGAGACAUAUCUAGAGAGUCACCAGUAGACAGCUUGCCUACCUUCAAGUUAAGCUCCUUCAGAAGAUUGGGUGUAGCAAAAGCCUUCCGCGAACCAACUCCAUAUAUAUCAAAUACCGGGAUUGGUAUUCUUCUGUCAUGGAAAGCAACUUCUGAUGAAAUAAAAACAUCUCCUAUUGAAGCACCUUUGGCCCCAAAUCCACCUGCUGUGCCAGCAUUUAUGAUGAGGUCUGGCUUUAAUGCUUGGACAGAAGCAUAUGUCACAAGAGAUGCAGAAACCGUGCCCACACCAUCAACCCCCAAUGCUGGGUCUUUCCCAGGACAAACAAUAUUAACGGUGAGACCCUUGUAAUUACCAUAGAACCGCACCCAAGGGACUCCCUUUGGGAACACGGAAUUGAGGUCCUCGGUAAGCUGGAACUUCUUAACAAGAGGUAACGCCUCUGUUUGCAUAGCAACGAUGAAGAGGAUGGUGGAAAUAGGGCGGUUAUCGACUGAGGAAACGGCGGCGGCGGCCUCCUCCUUGACUUCUGCUGACUUAUCGCCGUGAGGAGGAGCCAUUUUUACAGGUAAUUCCUUUGAAAACUUUUUUCGAUUGAGAAAUUG
This 1025-nucleotide unclassified non-coding RNA is filed under the name Hevea brasiliensis (rubber tree). The record is from RNAcentral. Lineage: Eukaryota; Viridiplantae; Streptophyta; Magnoliopsida; Malpighiales; Euphorbiaceae.